GACGAACGCUGGCGGCGUGCUUAACACAUGCAAGUCGAACGGAAAGGCCCUGCUUUUGUGGGGUACUCGAGUGGCGAACGGGUGAGUAACACGUGAGUAACCUGCCCUUGACUUUGGGAUAACUUCAGGAAACUGGGGCUAAUACCGGAUAGGAGCUCCUGCUGCAUGGUGGGGGUUGGAAAGUUUCGGCGGUUGGGGAUGGACUCGCGGCUUAUCAGCUUGUUGGUGGAGUAGUGGCUUACCAAGGCUUUGACGGGUAGCCGGCCUGAGAGGGUGACCGGCCACAUUGGGACUGAGAUACGGCCCAGACUCCUACGGGAGGCAGCAGUGGGGAAUAUUGCACAAUGGGCGGAAGCCUGAUGCAGCAACGCCGCGUGCGGGAUGACGGCCUUCGGGUUGUAAACCGCUUUCGCCUGUGACGAAGCGUGAGUGACGGUAAUGGGUAAAGAAGCACCGGCUAACUACGUG
This 468-nucleotide ribosomal RNA is filed under the name uncultured bacterium. RNAcentral describes it as "partial 16S ribosomal RNA". It matches the Rfam family "Bacterial small subunit ribosomal RNA", at positions 28 to 507 of the family's 1533-position model. The record is from RNAcentral.